GACGAACGCUGGCGGCGUGCCUAAUACAUGCGAGUAGAACGCUGAAGAGAGGAGCUUGCUCUUCUUGGAUGAGUUGCGAACGGGUGAGUAACGCGUAGGUAACCUGCCUUGUAGCGGGGGAUAACUAUUGGAAACGAUAGCUAAUACCGCAUAACAAUGGAUGACACAUGUCAUUUAUUUGAAAGGGGCAAUUGCUCCACUACAAGAUGGACCUGCGUUGUAUUAGCUAGUAGGUGAGGUAAUGGCUCACCUAGGCGACGAUACAUAGCCGACCUGAGAGGGUGAUCGGCCACACUGGGAGUGAGACACGGCCCAGACUCCUACGGGAGGCAGCAGUAGGGAAUCUUCGGCAAUGGGGGCAACCCUGACCGAGCAACGCCGCGUGAGUGAAGAAGGUUUUCGGAUCGUAAAGCUCUGUUGUAAGUCAAGAACGGGUGUGAGAGUGGAAAGUUCACACUGUGACGGUAGCUUACCAGAAAGGGACGGCUAACUACGUG
Molecule: ribosomal RNA, 497 nt
Filed under: uncultured bacterium
Lineage: Bacteria
Description: partial 16S ribosomal RNA
Rfam family: Bacterial small subunit ribosomal RNA
Source: RNAcentral